RNAcentral lists this unclassified non-coding RNA (285 nucleotides) under Hevea brasiliensis (rubber tree). The record is from RNAcentral. Lineage: Eukaryota; Viridiplantae; Streptophyta; Magnoliopsida; Malpighiales; Euphorbiaceae.
GGGUUGGAGAAGCUGGUUUCUGAGAUUGAUCUUGUCAAGUCUUUUUCAUGGUAAGUCUUUAAUUAACAGCUCUUACGCUUCUAUAUAUAUAUAUCACCAAGAAAUCAAGUUUUCUUUGUUUAAUGGAAUCCAAGAGUUCCCAUAUCAUUAUAAUUAAGCUGGAAACUGAGUAAUGAAUUAACCCUGCAAUACCCAGUAUGUUUUUCAUUAACAAUAUAUACCAAUAUAUAAUCUAGUUAAUAUAUUGUUUGUAUUUUUAACAGGGGACAAGAUUUGGAAAGCCCA